AUGGAAGUCUUCUGGAUCGUCGGUCUCGAGGCGUCACAAGGUGUUCUUGGAUGCUCCGGCGAAAUUGCUCCUACAACCGUUGAUGAUCUUGAGUGGCUGAAACAGAAGAGCAACGGGUUUGAUGUUGGUGCAAGCCGGAACAACCUCAGGAUUUCAGAGGACAAAAACUGUUUCCAUUCCCUUGUCAAGAAGAGAGACACCAACGACAAAGUCACGAUGAAUAGCCGUGAGUCCACCCUCGCGAUCUGCUGGUCGCCCCAGGCUGCUCUGGCACCGCCGCUCAAGUUCAGCCUGGGAGAUGCCUUCCUGUUCAUUAAAAAAAAAUUAGACAUGCGGGAGGAGAAUUGGUGCAACCGUCGGAUGGAAAAUGGGGCAACGGGAGCACGGAUGGGAGCACAUUGA
Molecule: ribosomal RNA, 402 nt
Filed under: Triticum aestivum (bread wheat)
Lineage: Eukaryota; Viridiplantae; Streptophyta; Magnoliopsida; Poales; Poaceae
Description: partial small subunit ribosomal RNA
Source: RNAcentral